UAAAUCUGGGGAGUUGGUUUAAUUUUCUUGUUUAUGCUUAAGGAUGAAGCCAUGUGAUGUAGGGUUGGGGACCAGGAUUAGAUACCCUGUUACGCUACGUGUUAAGAAUAGUAGAUACAUUUAAAUAUUUGCCAGGCGACUACGCCUUCAAGGGUAAAAGUCGAAGUACCUGGCGGUUCAGGGUAUCCAGCCCGCGAGACUUGACGGUUAAUCCGAUGAUCCGCGUUUAAUCGUACCUACUUUUGAAUUAUUUGUUUAACAGCUGGUGUAUGGUCGUCGUUAGUUUAUAUCGUGAGAUUUAGUUGAAGUAGGCGAAAAAUAAGUCUUUCGAAAUGGAGGGGUUUAGUUGAAGUCAGAUCGUUAUGCCGUUUAUGAGUGGAGGGCUUAGUUGAGUCACAUUGAUUAGCAUUAGACGGAAGCUUUUAGUGAAUGUUUGAGUGGAAGAAGGAGUGGGUAGUAAUGUUAAAGUAGGUUGUUUGCAUGAAUAGUGAACUUUUGGGCGUACAAAUCGCCCGUCGCCCCCGGGGAGACUUGGGGU
Molecule: ribosomal RNA, 538 nt
Filed under: Glycymeris sp. CF1
Lineage: Eukaryota; Metazoa; Mollusca; Bivalvia; Arcoida; Glycymerididae
Description: partial small subunit ribosomal RNA
Rfam family: Bacterial small subunit ribosomal RNA
Source: RNAcentral